Molecule: transfer RNA, 67 nt
Filed under: Onthophagus apterus
Lineage: Eukaryota; Metazoa; Arthropoda; Insecta; Coleoptera; Scarabaeidae
Description: tRNA-Phe
Source: RNAcentral
AUUUAAAUAGCUUAAGAUAAGAGUAUAAUAUUGAAGAUAUUAAGGUAAUAUUAAAUAUUUUUAAAUA